GAAUUUUCCGCAAUGGGCGAAAGCCUGACGGAGCAAUACCGCGUGAGGGAUGACGGCCUAUGGGUUGUAAACCUCUUUUUUCAGGGAGGAAUCAAAUGACGUGUACCUGAAGAUUAAGCAUCGGCUAACUCCGUGCCAGCAGCCGCGGUAAGACGGAGGAUGCAAGUGUUAUCCGGAAUCACUGGGCGUAAAGCGUCUGUAGGUGGUCCAAUAAGUCAACUGUUAAAUCUUGAGGCUCAACCUCAAAAUCGCAGUCGAAACUAUUAGACUAGAGUAUAGUAGGGGUAAAGGGAAUUUCCAGUGGAGCGGUGAAAUGCGUAGAGAUUGGAAAGAACACCGAUGGCGAAGGCACUUUACUGGGCUAUUACUGACACUCAGAGACGAAAGCUAGGGUAGCAAAUG
RNAcentral lists this ribosomal RNA (402 nucleotides) under uncultured bacterium. RNAcentral describes it as "partial 16S ribosomal RNA". It matches the Rfam family "Bacterial small subunit ribosomal RNA", at positions 359 to 774 of the family's 1533-position model. The record is from RNAcentral.